RNAcentral lists this long non-coding RNA (1247 nucleotides) under Anolis carolinensis (green anole). RNAcentral's name for it is "lncRNA (ENSACAG00000037970.1)". The record is from RNAcentral. Lineage: Eukaryota; Metazoa; Chordata; Lepidosauria; Squamata; Anolidae.
AUUUUCCUGCAGCAAUUUUUUAAAAUAUAAAUCUCUUCAGGGAAAAUAUAAAUGUUUCUAUAUAGUUAUGAGCACUAGAGAUACAAUGGCCCUUGUUCACUGUGUCUUAUCAGCCACAUAUUUCUUACUGGCAGUUUUUCCUGCUCAGUAAAUUUGCAUGUUUUGGGUGCAAUCUUUCACUUCCUUCAUUGCUUUCCACCUGAAAUGUUAAUAGCUUUUCCUAUUACAAUUUAUUUGUGGAAAACCACAAAUGUAGCUUUACACACAUUAAAUUAAAUUUCCCAUAGGUGAUAUGCAACAUCUUUCUGAAAAAGAAAAUGAAUCAAGGGGAGGAAAUGUUUUCAUGUAGAUAUUUAUAUCCUAUAUUAGUUUUAGACUAAAUGUUCUUCCCCAAUUGAAGAAAUCACAUGUCUGAGGAUGACUAAGGGUGACUUUGUUCCUCUUAACCGAAAGUGAAGCAACGUAGCAUAACCUUCUCUUUGACUUCUUUUAAAAUGGCUUAAAGAUAAGUAAACAUGUUCCUGCUUGCUAUUUUGAUCCUUUCUGUUUGUGGAUUUUCUGCAGCAGGGGAAAAACACCUGCUUUGCAGAUCAGAUGACCUAGACAUUUUGUAUUCCUCCUGCGGUCCUGGAGCUGCCAUGUUUUCUUUUACAGGAGAACCGUGUUCAUUGAAGGGUUCUGUAUGGCGGGUCGUAUGUUCUGAAUUCCGAGUGAGUGUCUAGGAAAUAUUAAGGGCUAGGGGUUUACAUUACAGAAAGCUGAAUACUCCAGUGUGGUAGUUUCUCCUGUCCAUUCAUGGAUUGUAUUGGAAGAUGAUUAGUGGGUUCUUAGAAAGUAGUUUCAUUUCUACAAGGAAGCACACACAAUUUUUGCUUCCUUCUGUAGCAUUUGCUACCUCCUGUAGCAGCGCCAUUUUCUUAGCUCUCAGGGUGAUCCAGGUCUCUCUCUCUCUCACACACACACAUAUACACGUUUAAUCCAUUUUUAUUCCAAAAGGCAUCAGAAUUACCUCUAAGGUGUGCAUGGAAGGCAUUCUCUCCGCAUUUAGAGCUGCACUAGACUCCUGGGAUCUCAAAUUAAUUCAGAACAACAACAACAACAACAACAACAACAACAACAAGAAUGUAUCUAUAGCCAUCACUAUGUUUGGCACAAGUAAAAGUACAAUAAAAUAGUUCUCUUCCAUCAGCUUACAAUCUAAUUAAGACAUGACACAUAAUAUUAUAAUAUUAUUAUGGAAGUGUGGG